UACGGGGGGGGUAAGCGUUGUUCGGAAUUACUGGGCGUAAAGGGUUCGUAGGCGGCCAACUAAGUCAUCCGUGAAAUCCCUCAGCUUAACUGGGGAACUGCGUGUGAUACUGGAUGGCUUGGAUGUGGGAGAGGGAUGCGGAAUUCCAGGUGUAGCGGUGAAAUGCGUAGAUAUCUGGAGGAACACCGGUGGCGAAGGCGGCAUCCUGGACCAUUAUUGACGCUGAGGAGCGAAAGCCAGGGGAGCAAACGGG
RNAcentral lists this ribosomal RNA (253 nucleotides) under uncultured bacterium. RNAcentral describes it as "partial 16S ribosomal RNA". It matches the Rfam family "Bacterial small subunit ribosomal RNA", at positions 524 to 776 of the family's 1533-position model. The record is from RNAcentral.